RNAcentral lists this ribosomal RNA (467 nucleotides) under uncultured bacterium. RNAcentral describes it as "partial 16S ribosomal RNA". It matches the Rfam family "Bacterial small subunit ribosomal RNA", at positions 28 to 507 of the family's 1533-position model. The record is from RNAcentral.
GGUGAACGCUGGCGGCGUGCCUAAGACAUGCAAGUCGAGCGGGGCAGGUUUAUACCUGUUCAGCGGCGGACGGGUGAGUAACGCGUGGGUGACCUACCCGGAAGAGGCGGACAACCUGGGGAAACCCAGGCUAAUCCGCCAUGUGGUCCUGUCCUGUGGGGCAGGACUAAAGGGGCGACCCGCUUCCGGAUGGGCCCGCGUCCCAUCAGCUAGUUGGUGGGGUAAAGGCCCACCAAGGCGACGACGGGUAGCCGGUCUGAGAGGAUGGCCGGCCACAGGGGCACUGAGACACGGGCCCCACUCCGACGGGAGGCAGCAGUUAGGAAUCUGCCGCAAUGGACGGAAGUCUGACGGAGCGACGCCGCUUGGAGGAGGAAGCCCUUCGGGGUGUAAACUCCUGAACUGGGGACGAAAGCCCCGUGUAGGGGGAUGACGGUACCCAGGUAAUAGCGCCGGCCAACUCCGUG